RNAcentral lists this ribosomal RNA (500 nucleotides) under uncultured Glomeromycotina. RNAcentral's name for it is "partial small subunit ribosomal RNA". It matches the Rfam family "Eukaryotic small subunit ribosomal RNA", at positions 591 to 1092 of the family's 1831-position model. The record is from RNAcentral. Lineage: Eukaryota; Fungi; Glomeromycota.
CCAAUAGCGUAUAUUAAAGUUGUUGCAGUUAAAAAGCUCGUAGUUGAAUUUCGGGGUUAGUAGGUUGGUCAUGCCUCUGGUAUGUACUGGUCUCACUGAUUCCUCCUUCCUGAUGAACCUUAAUGCCAUUAAUUUGGUGUUUUGGGGAAUUUGGACUGUUACUUUGAAAAAAUUAGAGUGUUUAAAGCAAGCUAACGCUUGAAUACAUUAGCAUGGAAUAAUGAAAUAGGACGUUCGAUCCUAUUUUGUUGGUUUCUAGGAUUGAAGUAAUGAUUAAUAGGGAUAGUUGGGGGCAUUAGUAUUCAAUUGUCAGAGGUGAAAUUCUUGGAUUUAUUGAAGACUAACUACUGCGAAAGCAUUUGCCAAGGAUGUUUUCAUUAAUCAAGAACGAAAGUUAGGGGAUCGAAGACGAUCAGAUAACGUCGUAGUCUUAACCAUAAACUAUGCCGACUAGGGAUCGGAUGAUGUUAAUUUUUUAAUGACUCAUUCGGCGCCUUACG